This 253-nucleotide ribosomal RNA is filed under the name uncultured bacterium. Its description in RNAcentral is "partial 16S ribosomal RNA". It matches the Rfam family "Bacterial small subunit ribosomal RNA", at positions 524 to 776 of the family's 1533-position model. The record is from RNAcentral.
UACGAAGGGGGCUAGCGUUGUUCGGAAUUACUGGGCGUAAAGCGCAUGUAGGCGGCUAUUCAAGUCGGGGGUGAAAUCCUGGGGCUCAACCUCAGAACUGCCUUCGAUACUGUUUAGCUCGAGUGUGGAAGAGGUUGGUGGAACUGCAAGUGUAGAGGUGAAAUUCGUAGAUAUUUGCAAGAACACCGGUGGCGAAGGCGGCCAACUGGUCCAUUACUGACGCUGAGAUGCGAAAGCCAGGGGAGCGAACGGG